GAUGAACGCUGGCGGCGUGCCUAAUACAUGCAAGUCGAGCGAACGGACGCGAAGCUUGCUGUGCUGAUGUUAGCGGCGGACGGGUGAGUAACACGUGGAUAACCUACCUAUAAGACUGGGAUAACUUCGGGACACCGGAGCUAAUACCGGAUAAUAUUUUGAACCGCAGGGUUCAAAAGUGAAAGACGGUCUUGCUGUCACUUAUAGAUGGAUACGCGCUGCAUUAGCUAGUUGGUAGGGUAACGGCUUACCAAGGCAACGAUGCAUAUACGAACUGAUAGGGUGAUCGGCGACACUGGAACAGGGACACGGUCCAGACUCCUACGGGAGGCAGCAGUAGCGAAUCGUCCGCAAUGGGCGAGAGCCUUGCGGAGCAGGGCCGCGUGAGUGAUGAAGGUCUUCGGAUCGUAAAACUCUGUUAUUAGGGAAGAACAUAUGUGUAAUUAACUGUGCACAUCGUGACGGUACCUAAUCAGAAAGCCACGGCUAACUACGUG
RNAcentral lists this ribosomal RNA (497 nucleotides) under uncultured bacterium. RNAcentral's name for it is "partial 16S ribosomal RNA". It matches the Rfam family "Bacterial small subunit ribosomal RNA", at positions 28 to 507 of the family's 1533-position model. The record is from RNAcentral.